RNAcentral lists this ribosomal RNA (253 nucleotides) under uncultured bacterium. RNAcentral's name for it is "partial 16S ribosomal RNA". It matches the Rfam family "Bacterial small subunit ribosomal RNA", at positions 524 to 776 of the family's 1533-position model. The record is from RNAcentral.
UACGAAGGGGGCGAGCGUUGUUCGGAUUUACUGGGCGUAAAGGGCGCGCAGGCGGCGCAUUUUGUCAGGCGUGAAAGCCCCGGGCUUAACCUGGGAACUGCGUUUGAUACGGAUGGGCUAGAGUUCGGGAGAGGAGAGUGGAAUUCCCGGUGUAGCAGUGAAAUGCGUAGAGAUCGGGAGGUACAUCUGUGGCGAAGGCGACUACCUGGACCAGCACUGACACUGAGGCACGAAAGCGUGGGGAGCAAACAGG